GAUGAACGCUAGCGGCAGGCCUAAUACAUGCAAGUCGAGGGGCAGCACGGGUAGCAAUACUUGGUGGCGACCGGCGCACGGGUGCGUAACACGUAUACAAUCUGCCUUUAACAGGGGGAUAGCCCGGAGAAAUCCGGAUUAAUACCCCAUAACAAAUUGACUGGCAUCAGUUGAUUUUGAAAGCUCCGGCGGGUAGAGAUGAGUAUGCGUCUGAUUAGCUAGAUGGUGAGGUAACGGCUCACCAUGGCGACGAUCAGUAGGGGAUCUGAGAGGAUUAACCCCCACACGGAUACUGAGACACGGAUCCGACUCCUACGGGAGGCAGCAGUAAGGAAUAUUGGACAAUGCCCGCAAGGGUGAUCCAGCCAUGCCGCGUGCAGGAAGACGGCCCUAUGGGUUGUAAACUGCUUUUACACCGGAGAAAACCUUCCCUCGUGAGGGGAGCUGAUGGUAUGGUGAGAAUAAGCAUCGGCUAACUUCGUGCCAGCCGCCGCAGUAA
This 499-nucleotide ribosomal RNA is filed under the name uncultured bacterium. RNAcentral's name for it is "partial 16S ribosomal RNA". It matches the Rfam family "Bacterial small subunit ribosomal RNA", at positions 28 to 523 of the family's 1533-position model. The record is from RNAcentral.